Molecule: unclassified non-coding RNA, 266 nt
Filed under: fungal sp.
Lineage: Eukaryota; Fungi
Description: partial internal transcribed spacer region
Rfam family: Eukaryotic small subunit ribosomal RNA (bases 1-46)
Source: RNAcentral
AAGUCGUAACAAGGUUUCCGUAGGUGAACCUGCGGAAGGAUCAUUAGCGAGAUUGCCGUGCGCGCCAGACCCGCAAAGGUUUGUGCGCGUGCGAGCAAGCGCCAUCCUUGUGUUAUGUGUGUGAUGUCGCGUGUGCCCACACUUCUCUCGGGGGGAGUGAGCACGUGCGCACAUUUUUUUCACCCAUUAUUCGCAUUUUAUUCUAAUCCACUGCUCAUACGAGCACAAACAACCGAAAACUGCCAGCAAUGGAUCACUCGGUUCUC